Non-coding RNA from Camponotus floridanus (Florida carpenter ant), 47 nucleotides. The record is from Rfam. NCBI's taxonomy places the organism in Eukaryota, Metazoa, Arthropoda, Insecta, Hymenoptera, Formicidae.
CAAACGGCCCUUUUCAGGGCCCCUGUAAAUAUUAUAAAUACACAUGG